Oryzias javanicus (javanese ricefish) is the source of this 851-nucleotide long non-coding RNA. Lineage: Eukaryota; Metazoa; Chordata; Actinopteri; Beloniformes; Adrianichthyidae. The record is from Ensembl.
GGGAAUCCAGAGUGAUGCAGAAUGGAUUCAAAUAAACUUGGGUCCAUUUAAUCAAUUUGUAGCAUACCAAGAUCUGAAAGUCUUCAACCUCUCCCAGGUAAGCCUGUCAUUGCAAAGUCAAUCUCAUUUCAACUCUGUCCAAAACUGCCAUCUACUCACGCCAAUAGAUGUAGAGAAGUUAAAAGACAAGAUAUUCAUUCAGGCUCUUGGUUUGCAUUCCCAGGAGGCCAUUGUAAGCAUCCUCUCACCUCAAGAGAAAGCACAGCUCAUACUGGACCCGAGCAGUGGAGCUUUGGAGAAUGUGACCCUUGUAAAAGGCCUGCUCACAAACUUGACACAGUCUGGCGAUGUGGGGCAGCUCACUCAGUUCUUCCAGGCUUUUGCAGAGGUCAACAAACAGAUGAAUACGAGCUUCAUCAAAAACACAGCUGUACGAGACACAAUCUUGAACCUGACUUUGACAGCUCUUGCUCCAGAAUUUGAGACAUUUGAGCCUUUGGGCUUUGAGCUGUGGUUCCAGCAGUAUUUGCCUCCUGUUAUAGCCAGCUUCCAACCAGACAGCUUGUGGGUGAUCCCCAUAAACAUCAGCUGUGCUUCCUAUACAGCUAUGUAAGAGACAGUUCUCAAAGACAGAAGAAAUGUUGGCCAUUUCUGGAUCCCUGUUACCAGUCAAAUUCACAAAUUUGUUUUUUUCUUCUCUUCAGACUUACUGGUCUGCAGCAAAGUUUGACAUUCCUGCCAUUGGACCUUUCGAUGGUCUUAAGAGAAAGCAUACAACUGAUCCAAGACACAUUCCCACGUACGUGCCACAGGAACUAUGCUGAGAUGUUUACUUCCUAAAUAAUGCCACC